This 577-nucleotide ribosomal RNA is filed under the name uncultured bacterium. RNAcentral describes it as "partial 16S ribosomal RNA". It matches the Rfam family "Bacterial small subunit ribosomal RNA", at positions 355 to 925 of the family's 1533-position model. The record is from RNAcentral.
UGGGGAAUUUUGGACAAUGGGCGCAAGCCUGAUCCAGCCAUGCCGCGUGCGGGAAGAAGGCCUUCGGGUUGUAAACCGCUUUUGUCAGGGAAGAAAUCUUCUGAGUUAAUACCUCGGGAGGAUGACGGUACCUGAAGAAUAAGCACCGGCUAACUACGUGCCAGCAGCCGCGGUAAUACGUAGGGUGCAAGCGUUAAUCGGAAUUACUGGGCGUAAAGCGUGCGCAGGCGGUUUUGUAAGACAGAGGUGAAAUCCCCGGGCUCAACCUGGGAACUGCCUUUGUGACUGCAAGGCUUGAGUGCGGCAGAGGGGGAUGGAAUUCCGCGUGUAGCAGUGAAAUGCGUAGAUAUGCGGAGGAACACCGAUGGCGAAGGCAAUCCCCUGGGCCUGCACUGACGCUCAUGCACGAAAGCGUGGGGAGCAAACAGGAUUAGAUACCCUGGUAGUCCACGCCCUAAACGAUGUCAACUGGUUGUUGGGAAGGUUCCUUCUCAGUAACGUAGCUAACGCGUGAAGUUGACCGCCUGGGGAGUACGGCCGCAAGGUUGAAACUUAAAUGAAUUGACGGGGUCAUAGC